RNAcentral lists this ribosomal RNA (382 nucleotides) under uncultured bacterium. Its description in RNAcentral is "bacterial SSU rRNA". It matches the Rfam family "Bacterial small subunit ribosomal RNA", at positions 340 to 719 of the family's 1533-position model. The record is from RNAcentral.
UACGGGAGGCAGCAGUGAGGAAUAUUGGUCAAUGGACGCAAGUCUGAACCAGCCAUGCCGCGUGCAGGAUGACGGCUCUAUGAGUUGUAAACUGCUUUUGUACGAGGGUAAACUCACCUACGUGUAGGUGACUGAAAGUAUCGUACGAAUAAGGAUCGGCUAACUCCGUGCCAGCAGCCGCGGUAAUACGGAGGAUUCAAGCGUUAUCCGGAUUUAUUGGGUUUAAAGGGUGCGUAGGCGGUUAGAUAAGUUAGAGGUGAAAUCCCGGGGCUUAACUCCGAAAUUGCCUCUAAUACUGUUUGACUAGAGAGUAGUUGCGGUAGGCGGAAUGUAUGGUGUAGCGGUGAAAUGCUUAGAGAUCAUACAGAACACCGAUUGCGAA